Molecule: small nuclear RNA, 20 nt
Filed under: Arabidopsis thaliana (thale cress)
Lineage: Eukaryota; Viridiplantae; Streptophyta; Magnoliopsida; Brassicales; Brassicaceae
Description: snRNA_05665
Source: RNAcentral
UGGUGAGAUAUAUAACGAAA